Molecule: ribosomal RNA, 497 nt
Filed under: uncultured bacterium
Lineage: Bacteria
Description: partial 16S ribosomal RNA
Rfam family: Bacterial small subunit ribosomal RNA
Source: RNAcentral
GAUGAACGCUGGCGGCGUGCCUAAUACAUGCAAGUCGAGCGAACAGACGAGGAGCUUGCUCCUCUGACGUUAGCGGCGGACGGGUGAGUAACACGUGGAUAACCUACCUAUAAGACUGGGAUAACUUCGGGAAACCGGAGCUAAUACCGGAUAAUAUAUUGAACCGCAUGGUUCAAUAGUGAAAGACGGUUUUGCUGUCACUUAUAGAUGGAUCCGCGCCGCAUUAGCUAGUUGGUAAGGUAACGGCUUACCAAGGCAACGAUGCGUAGCCGACCUGAGAGGGUGAUCGGCCACACUGGAACUGAGACACGGUCCAGACUCCUACGGGAGGCAGCAGUAGGGAAUCUUCCACAAUGAGCGAAAGCCUGACGAAGCAACGCCGCGUGAGUGAUGAAGGUCUUCGGAUCGUAAAACUCUGUUAUUAGGGAAGAACAAAUGUGUAAGUAACUAUGCACGUCUUGACGGUACCUAAUCAGAAAGCCACGGCUAACUACGUG